AGAGUUUGAUCAUGGCUCAGGAUGAACGCUAGCUACAGGCUUAACACAUGCAAGUCGAGGGGCAGCAUGUUGGUUGCUUGCAACCAAUGAUGGCGACCGGCGCACGGGUGAGUAACGCGUAUCCAACCUACCCUUGUCCAUCGGAUAACCCGUCGAAAGGCGGCCUAACACGAUAUGCGGUUCACAGCAGGCAUCUAAGGUGAACGAAAUGUGAAGGAGAAGGAUGGGGAUGCGUCUGAUUAGCUUGUUGGCGGGUAACGGCCACAAGGCGACGAUCAGUAGGGGUUCUGAGAGGAAGGUCCCCCANAUUGGAACUGAGACACGGUCCAAAACUCCUACGGGAGCA
Molecule: ribosomal RNA, 346 nt
Filed under: uncultured bacterium
Lineage: Bacteria
Description: bacterial SSU rRNA
Rfam family: Bacterial small subunit ribosomal RNA
Source: RNAcentral